AUUGAACGCUGGCGGCAGGCCUAACACAUGCAAGUCGAGCCUUAGCACAGAGAGCUUGCUCUCGGGUGACGAGCGGCGGACGGGUGAGUAAUGUCUGGGAAACUGCCUGAUGGAGGGGGAUAACUACUGGAAACGGUAGCUAAUACCGCAUAAUGUCGCAAGACCAAAGUGGGGGACCUUCGGGCCUCAUGCCAUCAGAUGUGCCCAGAUGGGAUUAGCUAGUACGUGGGGUAACGGCUCACCUAGGCGACGAUCCCUAGCUGGUCUGAGAGGAUGACCAGCCACACUGGAACUGAGACACGGUCCAGACUCCUACGGGAGGCAGCAGUGGGGAAUAUUGCACAAUGGGCGCAAGCCUGAUGCAGCCAUGCCGCGUGUGUGAAGAAGGCCUUCGGGUUGUAAAGCACUUUCAGCGGGGAGGAAGGCGAUAAGGUUAAUAACCUUGUCGAUUGACGUUACCCGCAGAAGAAGCACCGGCUAACUCCGUGCCAGCAGCCGCGGUAAUACGGAGGGUGCAAGCGUCAAUCGGAAUUACUGGGCGUAAAGCGCACGCAGGCGGUCUGUCAAGUCGGAUGUGAAAUCCCCGGGCUCAACCUGGGAACUGCAUUCGAAACUGGCAGGCUAGAGUCUUGUAGAGGGGGGCAGAAUUCCAGGUGUAGCGGUGAAAUGCGUAGAGAUCUGGAGGAAUACCGGUGGCGAAGGCGGCCCCCUGGACAAAGACUGACGCUCAGGUGCGAAAGCGUGGGGAGCAAACAGGAUUAGAUACCCUGGUAGUCCACGCCGUAAACGAUGUCGAUUUGGAGGUUGUGCCCUUGAGGCGUGGCUUCCGGAGCUAACGCGUUAAAUCGACCGCCUGGGGAGUACGGCCGCAAGGUUAAAACUCAAAUGAAUUGACGGGGGCCCGCACAAGCGGUGGAGCAUGUGGUUUAAUUCGAUGCAACGCGAAGAACCUUACCUGGUCUUGACAUCCACAAAACUUUCCAGAGAUGGAUUGGUGCCUUCGGGAACUGUGAGACAGGUGCUGCAUGGCUGUCGUCAGCUCGUGUUGUGAAAUGUUGGGUUAAGUCCCGCAACGAGCGCAACCCUUAUCCUUUGUUGCCAGCGGUCCGGCCGGGAACUCAAAGGAGACUGCCAGUGAUAAACUGGAGGAAGGUGGGGAUGACGUCAAGUCAUCAUGGCCCUUACGACCAGGGCUACACACGUGCUACAAUGGCAUAUACAAAGAGAAGCGACCUCGCGAGAGCAAGCGGACCUCAUAAAGUAUGUCGUAGUCCGGAUUGGAGUCUGCAACUCGACUCCAUGAAGUCGGAAUCGCUAGUAAUCGUAGAUCAGAAUGCUACGGUGAAUACGUUCCCGGGCCUUGUACACACCGCCCGUCACACCAUGGGAGUGGGUUGCAAAAGAAGUAGGUAGCUUAACCUUCGGGAGGGCGCUUACCACUUUG
This 1444-nucleotide ribosomal RNA is filed under the name uncultured organism. RNAcentral describes it as "SSU rRNA". It matches the Rfam family "Bacterial small subunit ribosomal RNA". The record is from RNAcentral.